Long non-coding RNA from Athalia rosae (coleseed sawfly), 352 nucleotides. RefSeq lists it as uncharacterized. The transcript has 2 exons. The record is from RefSeq and is a predicted model, not a curated record. Lineage: Eukaryota; Metazoa; Arthropoda; Insecta; Hymenoptera; Athaliidae.
GUGGUUCAGUACGUUGAAAUCAUCUUCUCGGAAUAAAACAGCCUCAGCCGCCUUUUCGUACAGAACUUUUGACAUUUUCAUAAUCUUUUCGGAAAUCCUGUAGAUCGGGACAUAAAAAAAUAGAAAUCAUGAACCGGCGUAUAAGCGAAGUUGCUAGAUGUAAUCGUACGAUGGCUUUCGCAACACAAGGUCAAAAACGCAACUUCUGAAGCCGGAUGAUCCUUAUGGAACAGACCCCGUUUAAAUCCUGCGACGCAUUGGAGAUCCUUAAAUUGACGCGCUCGUGCGAUUGUAGUGUAAAAUGUUUCGAGUGAAAUCCGCAGAUUUUUACGAAUACAGAAAUUCUUCCGAA